Molecule: long non-coding RNA, 3298 nt
Organism: Apodemus sylvaticus (European woodmouse)
Lineage: Eukaryota; Metazoa; Chordata; Mammalia; Rodentia; Muridae
Exons: 3
Source: RefSeq, a predicted model, not a curated record
GGCGGGGUAGAGCAGCGGCCUGGGUCUCGGAGGGCGGUGGCCCGGGCUCUGCUUUCUCCUGUGGGGCCUCAGCUUCGGCCUUUGUGGGGCGGGGGUGUCCCGGCUGCUAGGGCAGGAUGGGGGCGGGCCGCUGACGUCCGCGAGGGCGGAGCGCACUUGUUUUCGCAGCCCCGGGCGUUUAGCUGGAGGUACCGGGAGACCGCGGCGUUGGGCCUGGCGGGGUCACUUGUGGGUACGCGGUGCGCUCGGCGGAAGAUGGGACGGAACUCCGGGACAGCGCCGCGCCGGCACACACGCGCCGGCCUCGGUUCGCUUUUUGUUUUCUCCUCGCGGUCCCCGGUCCUGCAGCGACGGGAAACGCCGAGUUUCGCUUUUCCUGGGAUCCGAGGCGGCCGGUGCUGCGAAACGCGUGAGCUGCGUGGCGCCGGCGGUGACUGCGAGGGCUGUGGAUGGUUGAGUGGGCAGUGUUCUGCCGUGGGUGUGGAAGAUCGACCGGAACCAGGUCCUGAAAUCAAUCCCCAGCAACCACAUGGUGGAUCAGCACCAUCUAUAGUGGGAUCAGAUGCCCUCUGCUGGCCUACAGGCAUAGAUGCAGAUACUGUGUCUGGAUCUGUCUGUAAGCCACAUGUGUGCUUGGAGCCACUGGAGUCCAGAAGAAGACAUCAGAUCUCCUGAAACUGGGCUUAGAAAAGUUUGUGAGCAGCCGUGCAUGCUGGGGAUCUCGCCAGGUUCUGAAGUCUGAGCUCAUACACUGAGCAAUCUCUGCAGCUGUUUUCAAACAGAAGAGCUGGGGUGGCGGUGGUAGCGGCGGUGCACACCUUUAAGGCCAGCACUCAGGGAGGCAGGCAGGCAGAUCUCUGAGUCUGAAGCCAGCCCGGUCUGCACAGAGCUCUAGGGCAGCCGGGGCUGCGUGGUGAGACCCCCUCCAAGGAAAAACUCUUAGCGCUUGCCUAUCUAAAAUUAGAAUGUGAACACCAAAUGAAGUGCUUUAUUUUUCUUUUAACCAGGGAUCCCCAGGCUAGCAGGUUGCCCUGAGUUCGGAGUGUGUGUUGAAUAGUUUUGCUGUGUAGCCAAACCUGACCUCAAACUCAAAAUCUCUUUGAGUUGGACUCCUGAAUGCUGAAAUUACAGACCUAUGCUACCACACCCUGUGCAAAUAGGUUUUUUAAUUUAACUUUUUGUACUUACAUGAGUGAGCUUAAGUGUCAUGGUAGGGGCGGGGAGCUGAGGCAAUCCUGCUGGUUCUCUCUGCCCACAGUGGGAGUUCCAAGGACAGUACUCGGGACACCAGGCUUAGGAACAGACAUAAUGCCGAGACCACCUUGUAGGCCCAGAACUUUUGUUUUUUGUUUUGUUUUGUUUUCAUUUAAGUAGUACCAUUGGUUAAAUCGCAUAUCAGGCAUUAAAUUCACAUCAUCCCAACCAGGUUCCUUAGGCUCGGCCUAGCAGCACAUGCCUCCAGUUUCAGCAUUUGAGAGGCCGAGCCAAGGCUGCAUUGUGAGACCCUGCUUAAAAUAAAGAGGAAGAAGGCAACAGCAGCUUGUGCGGAUAUUUAUAACCCCCCCCCCCCAGGACUGGCGUUUGAUCCUAGGGCCCUUGACGCUAAGCAGCCAUUCUACCCACAGAACUCCAUAGCUCCAGCACUGCUGCAUUUUCCUUUAGCAGAGGUGAACUAGAAUUUUCAUGAAAUUCAAAUCUAUAAACUCCCACUUAUCUGGCAGUUUAACAUCUCAGUCUCCAAAGGGGAGCCUGGGCCACCCCAGGGUUCUGGAUAGCCCACGAGGUGAGGUCUCAGUCACCUUAGUACAGCCAAUGUCCUCACACUCAGUCGCACUGCACUGUGUGUGUGGAUGACCUUGUCACACUGUGUGAGGUGAAUGCCUCACAUUCCCGUGCUGAGCCCUUGAGACUCCUGGGGAGAAGGCAUGCCUGGGUUGGUAGGCUGCUCAGAAUUCCACACACAGCUGUGAGGGCUGUGUCUGGGCCUUUCUAGCCUCACCACAUUCCUGGCCUCCCAUGCCUGCCUGUUAGGUUGAUGGCGUCAUGAUGAGCUAAAAAAGAUUUACAUUUACUUACUAUUCCAUUCGUAUGAUAGUUUCACCUGUGUGUGUGUGUGUGUGUGUGUGUGUGUGUGUUUGUGCGCGCAACCCCCCCCCCCCCACCUGCCUGGGUAUCCUUGGAGGUCAGGAGAGGAUAUUUGCUCUUCUGGAUUGGAUUUACAGACAGUUGUGAACUGUCACAUAUAUGGGUCCUCUGCCAAAAGCAAGAGGUGCCCUUAGCUUCUGAGUCAUCCCUCCAGCCCCUAAAAUGUUAAUAAAUCAAAAAACAGACCGAGGCUGGAGAGGUGGGUCAGUGGUUAAGAGCACUCGUUCUCAUUGCAAAGGACCCAGGUUCAAUUCCCAGCUCCCAUGUGGAGGUUCACCAUCUCCUCAGGGACCAGCACCUGUGGGGCCCAGAUACACAUGAAGGUGAAACUCACACAAAAUAAUAAGAAAGUUUUUAAAUAUUUAAAAAUAAGUAAAUAAAAACACCUAAAUACCUUGAGAAAAAUGUUAGCUUGAGCUAGCAGUAAUAGCUAAUGCCUAUAAUCCCAACAACUUGAUCGAGUAGGGAAGAAUACAAGUUCUAGGCUAGCCUGAGCAAUUUAGUAACUGCCUACUGGAAAAAAGCAAAGGGGCAGUGUUGGUAUUCAGCGACAGGUGCUCCCCUAGCCACCUGUAAGGCCUAGAGACCAGGUCCUAGCACUGCAAACUGAAAAAGGAAAUCAGAGGGGUUCCAUGUUUGUUCUUUUGCCAAGGUCUCACUAUGUAGCCCAAGCUGGCCUCUGAACUCAGGGUGUGGGGCUGGAGAGUUGGUUCGCUCAGCAGCUGAUAACACUGGCAGCCCGGACAGAAAAACCCCCGGUUCUGUCUCCUGCACUACUCACCACCCUCUGGUAACUGGUUCUGGGUGUGUGCUGCUCCUGUUCUGAGCUCAGGCAGCGAGCGAGCAUGUGGAGCACAGAAAGACGGGAAGGCAAACACGGAACACGCAUACAUCUGGUGAAAAGUUUAAACAAAGAGCCCAGUACAGUUUAGAUAAUUGUGUAUGUGUAAUAGCAACGCUUAAGUAAAGAACUUAAAUUUUAAUUAAUCUUUAUACGUUGCUGAUGACAGUACAGUUACAUCACUCCCCUUUUCUGUCCUCCAUCCAAACUCCCUAACUCUCAAAUUGAUAGUCUCAUCUUCCUCCGUUAUUAUUGCUAUAUGUGAGUUUAUGUGUUAUGCAAAAAAUAUACAAAUAAAGCCCGCUGAAUCUG